GACGAACGCUGGCGGCGUGCUUAACACAUGCAAGUCGAACGGAAAGGCCCUGCUUUUGUGGGGUGCUCGAGUGGCGAACGGGUGAGUAACACGUGAGUAACCUGCCCUUGACUUUGGGAUAACUUCAGGAAACUGGGGCUAAUACCGGAUAGGAGCUCCUGCUGCAUGGUGGGGGUUGGAAAGUUUCGGCGGUUGGGGAUGGACUCGCGGCUUAUCAGCUUGUUGGUGGGGUAGUGGCUUACCAAGGCUUUGACGGGUAGCCGGCCUGAGAGGGUGACCGGCCACAUUGGGACUGAGACACGGCCCAGACCCCUACGGGGGGCAGCAGGGGGGAAUAUGGCACAAGGGGCGGAAGCCUGAUGCAGCAACGCCGGGGGGGGGAGGACGGCCUUCGGGUUGUAAACCGCUUUCGCCUGUGACGAAGCGGGAGGGACGGUAAUGGGUAAAGAAGCACCGGCUAACUAGGUG
RNAcentral lists this ribosomal RNA (468 nucleotides) under uncultured bacterium. RNAcentral describes it as "partial 16S ribosomal RNA". It matches the Rfam family "Bacterial small subunit ribosomal RNA", at positions 28 to 507 of the family's 1533-position model. The record is from RNAcentral.